RNAcentral lists this ribosomal RNA (255 nucleotides) under uncultured bacterium. RNAcentral describes it as "partial 16S ribosomal RNA". It matches the Rfam family "Bacterial small subunit ribosomal RNA", at positions 524 to 776 of the family's 1533-position model. The record is from RNAcentral.
UACGUAGGGGGCAAGCGUUGUCCGGAUUUAUUGGGCGUAAAGAGCGUGUAGGCGGCCACACAGGUCUGCUGUGAAAACUCGAGGCUCAACCUCGAGCUGUCGGUGGAAACCGUGUGGCUAGAGUCCGGAAGAGGAGAGUGGAAUUCCCGGUGUAGCGGUGAAAUGACGCAGAUAUCGGGAAGAACACCCGUGGCGAAGGCGGCUCUCUGGGACGGUACUGACGCUGAGACGCGAAAGCGGUGGGGAGCGAACAGG